ACCCGCUGAAUUUAAGCAUAUCAAUAAGCGGAGGAAAAGAAACUAACUAGGAUUCCCCUAGUAACGGCGAGUGAAGCGGGAAGAGCCCAGCACCGAAUCCCCCGGCGUAACGUCGGCGGGAAAUGUGGUGUAUAGGAAGCCGAUUGGUGGUGCGCUUCGUCGCCCAAGUCCUCCUGAUCGUGGCCUCUCCCAUAGCGGGUGUCAGGCCCUUUCUGGCGACGGGCGCGCUGCCUUCGAGCUUCCUCGGAGUCGGGUUGUUUGAGAAUGCAGCCCAAAGCGGAUGGUAAACUCC
This 292-nucleotide ribosomal RNA is filed under the name Hiatella arctica. RNAcentral describes it as "partial large subunit ribosomal RNA". It matches the Rfam family "Eukaryotic large subunit ribosomal RNA", at positions 23 to 307 of the family's 3401-position model. The record is from RNAcentral. Lineage: Eukaryota; Metazoa; Mollusca; Bivalvia; Adapedonta; Hiatellidae.